This 254-nucleotide ribosomal RNA is filed under the name uncultured bacterium. RNAcentral's name for it is "partial 16S ribosomal RNA". It matches the Rfam family "Bacterial small subunit ribosomal RNA", at positions 524 to 776 of the family's 1533-position model. The record is from RNAcentral.
UACGGGGGGGGCAAGCGUUGUUCGGAAUUACUGGGCGUAAAGGGCGUGUAGGCGGCCAACUAAGUCCGACGUGAAAUCCCAAGGCUUAACCUUGGAACUGCGUCGGAUACUGGAUGGCUUGAAUUCGGGAGAGGGAUGCAGAAUUCCAGGUGUAGCGGUGAAAUGCGUAGAUAUCUGGAGGAAUACCAGUGGCGAAGGCGACUACCUGGCCUGUUUCUUGACGCUGAGGCGCGAAAGCUAGGGGAGCAAACGGG